Hibiscus syriacus is the source of this 195-nucleotide long non-coding RNA. RefSeq lists it as uncharacterized. NCBI's taxonomy places the organism in Eukaryota, Viridiplantae, Streptophyta, Magnoliopsida, Malvales, Malvaceae. The record is from RefSeq and is a predicted model, not a curated record. The transcript has 3 exons.
GAGUAAUAUAGUUCUGGAUUUAGUGAGUGCUAGCAGGUGUGGAUCUUACUAGUUUAAAUAAGAUGACAAAGCUUGGACUAUGAAUUCCUCUGUUAUAUUUCAUGUCUGGUUGCUAGUGGCUGUGCUUUGAAUCAUAUGUUUUGAGUUGCACAAGUGACCGAAUUAUAUCUGAUAUGAAAAUUGUCAUUAAGAUUU